GGUUUGGUGAUCAUAGAGCGAGCAAAACACCCGAUCCCAUCCCGAACUCGGCCGUUAAGUGCCGUAUCGCCAAUGGUACUGCGUCUUAAGACGUGGGAGAGUAGGUCGUCGCCAAACCU
Molecule: ribosomal RNA, 119 nt
Filed under: Jannaschia aquimarina
Lineage: Bacteria; Pseudomonadati; Pseudomonadota; Alphaproteobacteria; Rhodobacterales; Roseobacteraceae
Source: RNAcentral